GUACCAAAUAAGUAAAUAGGUAAUAAUAACACUAAGGAGGUUUUUUAGUAGAGUGAGCAAAAAAGAUGAGGUUUGGAAGAAAAGGCAGUGUGUGAGACGAUUACUGAAUGACAAAAGAGGUUAGAAUAUUUAAAGGUGUGAAUGAAAUAAAGGUGUAUUGUUUUUAGAUUAAGAUUUAGUAGAAUUAAAGAGGGUCUGUAGAUUAUAAAUACAAAGAAAAAACAAAAGAGUUAGAUUAGUUUGAAGAAACAGGAAAUAUGGCUCUGUGUGCCUGCUGUGUGAGAGGAAGUGGUGGUUGUGAGAGGCCCAUAAAAGGUACUCACUGUGACAAGUGUGCACCCAGAGAAGAGAGACAGAAUCGGGAGGAAAACAGGCCAGCAUUUGGCUUAAAAUUUGACAGCUUCACCUCUCAUUGUCUCCUUAUCCUGAGAAGGAGCUUAAAGAACAGUCAAUCUCCUGAUGAAGACCGACAGAACAUCGUGGACUUGAAUACCGCAGGCAAACGACAGUGCCCCUGAUCCAUUAACACUGAUGACGACUGACGACCAGCAGCAGCAUGUAAGAAAAGCGAGUAAUGCAACAUGUACUGUGAAUUACAGGCUGGGCAGUUGAACAGUGGGAUAAAGAAUUGUGGAAGAGCACUGGACAUUGAGUGUCAUAUUUGCCAUGCUUGGAGUAAUUUUGGAAGAGAAGACUGCAGAAGAAAAAGAGAAGGAACAGGACACUGUGAAGGAGGGGGACCAGUGUCAGGUGAAGCUGGACGAGUUUGACUGCGAGAAUAUAGGAUAUAAUUGGAUUGGAAAAAUUGAAGCCACAACUCAUGAUUGUUUAGGGAUGUCCACCAUAUCACGUUUAAAAGAGGUAAACACAAAAUGAAAACACACAUACACAAAUUGGUACAUGUGAGAUUAUUAUUGAAAUGAAUUAGAAGUGAGAUAGUUUGAAUUUAGAACUCAGUGAUAAGAUGCAUGAAUUAAACCUUAUUGAAACAAACACUUGCAAUGAAGAAAGCAGCUUACACUCAAUUAAUAUGAACGCAAAGCCUUGGUGCCAUAGGCAAUUUGUUUUUGUUUUUUUAUGAGCUGUAAGCAAUGCAAAGUUUUUCCUUAACUUAAAAGUUUGAAAUAUGUAAGAUGUAUGAAUUCUUUGAGAAAUAGGAAUUGCCUAAAAUGCCCUAAGUCAAAAUGUAGUGUUGCAUCUACAAAGAAGAAAGCAGAAGAAGCAUUCAGUAACUUGAAACUGGCAUUACAGACAAAUACAGUUUUGGCUUUGCCUGAUUAUGAUAAGCCUUUCUGCUUACACGUAGAUGGACGUGCAGGCCUGUGCAGCCGCAGCAGAAGCAGUAAGCAAGUCAGCUGACAUUGCUUUAGGGCACAAUUUAAUCAUCAGAAUACCCAAAAUAAUAUGAUUUGAUGACUUGUGAAGGUAAACCGAUACUCCCAAGUCCCUGUGCAGAACAGCAGCAUUAGUGACACAUGGGGUGACCCAUGUGUCCUCAGGGGGGGAUAGUCCAGGUCCUUAAUACACACUUUUAUACUUUAGUGAUUAUAGACGUAUUCUCAAAAUGGCCAGAGAUUUAUCCAGUGGAAAAAGCAGAUGCAAUCUCAGUUGCAAAAUGUUUAUGCAAUUAUUCUGGCCUGAAUGGCCUGAGUGCAUAGGCCUAGUAAAAAUGUGGAUGAAAUUAAUACAAGGCUCUCAAAACUGACAUUAUUUGAGGUUGUUCAUGGGAGACCUUUUCCACUCCCAGUGAAAAGUGAACCUUUAGAAAAUCCAUCAGAGAAACAACUCUGGCAGAAUGGAUGGCAAAACUACUAGAAAAUAAGGAUAUUGUUUUGAACAAUAAACUGCCGUAAGACUCUCCAGUCUCUUGCAGGUUGAAACCAAGUGUUAUUGACAACACCCACAGCCUGUAAAAUUGCAGAGAGACCAUCUUGGAUACAUCAGAGCCACUGCAAAGGUUGAGGUCCCGGAAGCCCCGACACCGAGGAGGAAGCGCCUACGCUUGGUUUUUUCGGGGGUGAGGGUGGUAAGUGCGUUCUUGGGGCCCCCGUAGGGUAAGCCCGCACUCCAAUCUCUAUCCGAUCAACUUUAGGCAGCCAGGUGUAGGUGUGCUCACCCUUACAGGACCCCAGCCGAUGCCAAUAGCAGCCGAGCCACAAGGCAGACAGAGAAGAUGGACGCACGACAACUUACACCUAAUGGACAGGACACAAGAUCACAUCCAUCCUUGGAUGAAAAAUGCCUGAUACAGAUAUGUGUUUAACAAGACCACAGAGAAAGACUGUUAUGUUUGCUCGCACAUGCCGAGCAUAUUAACACAACAACAACAACAACAACAACAUCGUCAUCCUGAUCCAGGAAGAAGCCCUCAACUUUAACAAGUUUAAAGAGACUGUUGAUCGUCAUUGAAUUUUUCUUGAUUUUAUUUUGCUUUUCUUUACUUAUGUUAUUCUUUGUUUAAAGCUGUAAUUUCACAGAUGACAAGUUUGUCAUUCACAGCAUACGCAGAUGUACUGAAAUUUAUGAAGAUCAUGAAGACUUUUUUCCUAUUUGUUUCAUGAAGAUGAAGUGCUAAUGAUGUAGUAACUAAGAAUGUGAAAGACAAGUAGUUACUUAUUGUACAUUUCAUUUCUCUGAUAAACAGGGCGGAAUGUCAAGAGAUUGUAUAUAUGUGUAUAUAUGUGAUCAGCUACAUGAAAUGUAUCCUUUCAUUAUUUGUCAUUAAGCAUAUUUCUACAUGACUUUUUACCUAGUAACUUGUGUGCUGAACUUAUGCAGAUACUAACCGCAUCCUGUCGUUCUGAACAUUUAGAUGUAGAGAAGACCAAGCUCAGCUCUUUUACGAGAACAUACAGAUAGAGAAAAGGGGAAAACCCGCUGCCUUGACUGAUGUUAUCUACACACACACACACACACACACACACACACACAAAACAUCUUGUAUAAAUAAAGGACGCGGACAGUCGUGGGGCGCAGUUCGUGCGUUCUAUGACUGCCCCUCGCGAGUGAAAAACUUCUGCAGUGUUUGUGUGUUUUCUGAACUCAGACGUCUCAACUGAAGAACGGCAGGGUGAUUUAAAGAAAUCCCCUGUCAGUUUUCAU
Molecule: long non-coding RNA, 3102 nt
Organism: Oreochromis aureus
Lineage: Eukaryota; Metazoa; Chordata; Actinopteri; Cichliformes; Cichlidae
Source: Ensembl